RNAcentral lists this ribosomal RNA (500 nucleotides) under uncultured bacterium. Its description in RNAcentral is "partial 16S ribosomal RNA". It matches the Rfam family "Bacterial small subunit ribosomal RNA", at positions 30 to 523 of the family's 1533-position model. The record is from RNAcentral.
AUUGAACGCUGGCGGCAGGCCUAACACAUGCAAGUCGAGCGGAUGACGGGAGCUUGCUCCUUGAUUCAGCGGCGGACGGGUGAGUAAUGCCUAGGAAUCUGCCUGGUAGUGGGGGACAACGUUUCGAAAGGAACGCUAAUACCGCAUACGUCCUACGGGAGAAAGCAGGGGACCUUCGGGCCUUGCGCUAUCAGAUGAGCCUAGGUCGGAUUAGCUAGUAGGUGAGGUAAUGGCUCACCUAGGCGACGAUCCGUAACUGGUCUGAGAGGAUGAUCAGUCACACUGGAAAUGAGACACGGUCCAGACUCCUACGGGAGGCAGCAGUGGGUAAUAUUGGACAAUGGGCGAAAGCCUGAUCCAGCCAUGCCGCGUGUGUGAAGAAGGUCUUCGGAUUGUAAAGCACUUUAAGUUGGGAGGAAGGGUUGUACGUUAAUACCGUGCAAUUUUGACGUUACCGACAGAAUAAGCACCGGCUAACUCUGUGCCAGCCGCCGCCGUAA